UGCCAGCAGCCGCGGUAAUACGGAGGGUGCAAGCGUUAAUCGGAAUUACUGGGCGUAAAGCGAGUGUAGGCGGCUGUGUAAGUCGGAUGUGAAAGCCCCGGGCUCAACCUGGGAAUUGCAUUCGAAACUGUAUAGCUAGAGUUUGGUAGAGGUAAGUGGAAUUCAAGGUGUAGCGGUGAAAUGCGUAGAUAUCUUGAGGAACAUCAGUGGCGAAGGCGGCUUACUGGACCAAAACUGACGCUGAGGCUCGAAAGCGUGGGGAGCAAACAGGAUUAGAUA
Molecule: ribosomal RNA, 279 nt
Filed under: uncultured bacterium
Lineage: Bacteria
Description: partial 16S ribosomal RNA
Rfam family: Bacterial small subunit ribosomal RNA
Source: RNAcentral